UCUUGCCGUUAGCUAGCUUUCUGCAACUCACAUGGUUGCCCACUGAAGCUAAGCAGGGCUGCGCCUGGUCAGUACCUGGACGGGAGACCACAUGGGAUAGCUAGGUUGCUGCUGGAA
This is a ribosomal RNA of Danio rerio (zebrafish), 117 nucleotides long. The record is from Ensembl. NCBI's taxonomy places the organism in Eukaryota, Metazoa, Chordata, Actinopteri, Cypriniformes, Danionidae.